Molecule: ribosomal RNA, 301 nt
Filed under: uncultured bacterium
Lineage: Bacteria
Description: partial 16S ribosomal RNA
Rfam family: Bacterial small subunit ribosomal RNA
Source: RNAcentral
CAGCAGCCACGGUAAUACGUAUGUCACAAGCGUUAUCCGGAUUUAUUGGGCGUAAAGCGCGUCUAGGUGGUUAUGUAAGUCUGAUGUGAAAAUGCAGGGCUCAACUCUGUAUUGCGUUGGAAACUGUGUAACUAGAGUACUGGAGAGGUAAGCGGAACUACAAGUGUAGAGGUGAAAUUCGUAGACAUUUGUAGGAAUGCCGAUGGGGAAGCCAGCUUACUGGACAGAUACUGACGCUGAAGCGCGAAAGCGUGGGUAGCAAACAGGAUUAGAUACCCCUGUAGUCCCGGUCUCUUAUACA